RNAcentral lists this ribosomal RNA (317 nucleotides) under Phelsuma lineata (striped day gecko). RNAcentral's name for it is "partial 16S ribosomal RNA". It matches the Rfam family "Bacterial large subunit ribosomal RNA", at positions 2006 to 2507 of the family's 2925-position model. The record is from RNAcentral. Lineage: Eukaryota; Metazoa; Chordata; Lepidosauria; Squamata; Gekkonidae.
GAGGGUUUAACUGUCUCCUGUAGCCAAUCAAUGAACUUGAUCUCACAGUACAAAUGCUGUGAUAUAACUAUAAGACGAGAAGACCCUGUGGAGCUUUAAACCUACCACAUUAACUAAUUAACCUAAACUACUAUUAGUAUAACUGUAAGUUUUAAGUUGGGGCGACUAUGGAGUAAAAAUUAACCUCCAUGCAAUACGAUUAAACCUCGUUAUAUACGGCUAACAAGCCUAGUCAAAAUACACGACCCAGUCAAACUGAUUAUCGGACCAAGUUACCCCAGGGAUAACAGCGCCAUCCCCUUAAAGAGUUCACAUCG